Molecule: long non-coding RNA, 511 nt
Organism: Nothoprocta perdicaria
Lineage: Eukaryota; Metazoa; Chordata; Aves; Tinamiformes; Tinamidae
Exons: 3
Source: RefSeq, a predicted model, not a curated record
UAUUCCUCUUGUUUUCAUUUUAUGACUGUAUGGAACCUAAGGGGGUGGAGAGCAGAUGCAUGGCUUCUGCAAGUAUCAGGCUGUACUCAUGGUCUCCAUGGAUUACCUCCUCAUACUUUGAAGUUGUUAAAUCAUUUUAGCUGAAACUUAAAAGGAGAAAAAAAAAAGGAAUCGGCCUGAGGCAAACAAGCAGAUAAAGUCUGCCAACUACGAACAUCUGAAAUCAAGACCUUAGGCUAUUUGCAGCUGCCAGAUUCACUGCCAGCUCUACUAGUACUAAGUUCUAGUAAGGGAGGGAGUGAAGCUGAGUUUCGUUUUCUUUUCUUCUGAGGCUGUCUGGGACUUUUAGUCCGAAGCGCAGGCUGGAGCCACUGGAUGACAUUUUGCAUCAGACUUUUAAGAUAUAACAAUUAGGUCAAAGAAUAAUCAGGAACUGCUGUUAUUCCUGGUAGAGAGAAGAAAUAAAGUUGACACUCCCACUGUACAAAGGUUACACAGAUACAAAAAUGUA